UGAAGAGUAGAAAAAGAGGCUUGUGAAGGAGAAAAAGCCAGGGAAGACUAUCGACAGAGUCAAUACACAAGAUGUUGGGUGUAUCUUCUCUAUUUCUCCUUCUGCUUUCAACUUUAUCAGAAGUUGGGUUUUCCCAAAAUACCCUUAAGCUUAGCAGAGAUGACUUCCCACCAGGCUUUCUUUUCGGUGCUGGAACCUCAGCUUUUCAGGUUGAAGGUGCAGUAGCUGAGGAUGGAAGGACUCCGAGUGUUUGGGACACUUUCACUCACGAAGGGAAAAUGGUGGACAAUAGCACAGCAGACGUAGCUGCAGAUCAAUACCACAAAUAUAAGGAAGAUGUGAAGCUGAUGAGUGAGAUGGGCCUUGAUGUCUACAGAUUUUCCAUAUCUUGGUCAAGGCUCCUCCCACUUGGAAGAGGAGCCGUUAAUCCUAAAGGUGUCCAGUACUACAACAAUCUCAUCAAUGAGCUGGUCAACCAUGGAAUUCAACCACAUAUUACCAUCUACCAUGAGGAUCUCCCUCAAAUACUUCAAGAUGAAUAUGGAGGAUGGCUAAGCCCAAAGAUAGUGGAGGAUUUUACAGCCUAUACAGAUGCAUGCUUUAGGGAAUUUGGUGAUAGGGUGGCCCACUGGACCACCCUAAAUGAACCCAAUGUCGCAGCCCUUGGAGCUUACGACAGUGGGACCUUUCCACCUGGGCGAUGCUCCUAUCCAUUUGGCGUGAAAUGCACAGUUGGCAACUCCUCUGUGGAGCCGUACAUAGUAGUCCACCAUUACUUGCUGGCACAUGCAUCAGCUGCAGCUUUGUAUAGAGAAAAAUACCAAGCCAAGCAAAGGGGUUCCAUAGGGAUAAAUGUAUGGGCUUUAUGGUGUAUCCCUUUUACCAACUCCACAGCAGACGUUAAAGCAACCAAAAGAGCCCUCGAUUUCUAUAAUGGGUGGAUCAUCAACCCGUUGGUGUUUGGAGACUAUCCUGAGAUCAUGAAGAAGAAUGCAGGGUCAAGGAUCCCAUCUUUCACCAAAUCCGAAUCAGAACGGUUGAAGGGCUCUAUCGACUUCCUUGGAGUGAACCAUUAUAUAACCAACUACGUAGAGGAUGACUCUAAUGGCGCGAAGAACAACCUUCGAGACUUCAAUGCAGACAUGUUUGCCAAAUUUCGAACUUCAAAAGAUGAUGCACCGACAAGCAAGGUUGGGCCAACGGACCGGUUGGUCGUUCCAUCCAGCAUGCAAAGCUUGCUAGAAUACUUUAAAAAUGAGUACGACGAUCUUCCAAUCUAUAUCCAAGAGAAUGGUUUUGGUGGGACGCCCAAUGAGUCACUCAAUGACACGGCUAGGGUGGAGUACAUAAGUGCAUACCUUAAUGCAACACUAGGAGCGAUUAGGAACGGAUCAAACACCAAAGGAUACUUUGUGUGGUCAUUCGUAGAUGUUUUCGAAAUCUUGAACGGAUAUAUGCAGAGGUUUGGGCUUUUUCAUGUGGAUUUUGAAGACAAGGCCCGAACAAGACAGCCCAAAUUCUCAGCCUAUUGGUACGCGGAUUUGCUCAAGAAAAGCAAGGAAAUGAAGAUAGUCAUGGCCACCCAGCAAGGAAUGGUCACCCAGUAGUUCUUGGGUUUUUAAGGAUUGCUUUGAUACUCUAGUAGAGUGUGAUGGAUGAUACACGAGCACUUGGAGAUUGUAUAUGUGGCAUGCAGGAAUAGGCUCUCGUCAAGGAGCAUGAGGAGGGGAUCUCUAGCCAUUUCUAUUUUUGUUUAGUUUUCUUUGAGGUUUCAAAAUUAUUGUAAUAGGACUUAUUGUGAAAGAGUGAUAAGACUUUAGAUUAUAAUGAUAUUGAUUGAGAUAUUUUAUUUUA
RNA transcript from Magnolia sinica, 1854 nucleotides. It is a transcript of the gene named beta-glucosidase 22-like, with no coding region annotated. The transcript is spliced from 14 exons. NCBI's taxonomy places the organism in Eukaryota, Viridiplantae, Streptophyta, Magnoliopsida, Magnoliales, Magnoliaceae. The record is from RefSeq and is a predicted model, not a curated record.